Molecule: ribosomal RNA, 426 nt
Filed under: uncultured bacterium
Lineage: Bacteria
Description: bacterial SSU rRNA
Rfam family: Bacterial small subunit ribosomal RNA
Source: RNAcentral
GGGGAAUUUUGGACAAUGGGCGCAAGCCUGAUCCAGCCAUGCCGCGUGCAGGAUGAAGGCCCUCGGGUUGUAAACUGCUUUUGUACGGAACGAAAAGCCUCUUUCUAAUAAAGAGGGGUGAUGACGGUACCGUAAGAAUAAGCACCGGCUAACUACGUGCCAGCAGCCGCGGUAAUACGUAGGGUGCGCGCGUUAAUCGGAAUUACUGGGCGUAAAGCGUUCGCAGGCGGUCUUGCAAGACAGUGGUGAAAUCCCCGGGCUCAACCUGGGAACUGCCAUUGUGACUGCAAGGCUGGAGUACGGCAGAGGGGGAUGGAAUUCCGCGUGUAGCAGUGAAAUGCGUAGAUAUGCGGAGGAACACCGAUGGCGAAGGCAGUCCCCUGGGCCUGUACUGACGCUCAUGCACGAAAGCGUGGGGAGCAAACA